UUUAAUGCAAGCAAAUUAGAUAAUUUACUAGAUGAAGUGAGUGUAGAGAGAAAAAGAGACAGUAGCCAAUACAAACACAACCAAGUUUAUAGUGGUUCGGAGCCAACUCUUGCUCCUACGUCCACUUUCCAAGCCGCACUUGGGUUUUCACUAUAAUCCCUAAGAUUAUAGCCGGUUGUUUUAUAAGCUCACAACCUAACUUGUUGUUUUUCCGAGAUUACAACGAACUCGGUCGGUUUUCACAGGCUCACCGACUAGAACCGCCCAAUUGUUUUUUCGGGUUCACAAUCAAACCUAGUUGGUUUUUUCCGGUUCACCAACCAAAACCUUACAUCGUUGGUUUUAUAUUUGGCUCACCAAUAAACCUUACAACCCUUGAUUCAAUCCCCUGAUUGAAUCAAGUAAGAAAAAUAGAGUUUGGGAUUUCACAGAGAAAGCUUCUAAACAAGCAGAUGUGAAAACAAUAAAUGCGAAGUAAAGUUAGAAGCCCUCAAACAGAUUUCAAAAGAGGAAGAAAGGGCUUCUCGAACUCUGAGUCUUCUCUUUGAGUGUACUGAAGAUUUGAUGUCAGAAGAAGAGCCUUGAAUGCGAAGGAAAAACUUCUAAGAAUGAAUUGAAUGCAUUUCUUCCUUCUUUUCCUUGUCUUUGCUCUCAAUGGACUCUUGAUAGUUGGAAAUGCCUUAAUGCACAGAUGGAGUAACUUUCUUGUUGUCUACUAUUGUUUACUCUGGCUAUUUAAACAGUCCCUUUUGAAAAAUAGCCGUUAGACACUGAUUUGUAGCCGUUCUGCACAGUCUGCACCUCCUGACAAUGUAUCCGUUGGGGUUGGAGUCGACUCGCUCGAUCUAGAGUCGACUCGACUGUUGCUGGAGUCGACUCAUGCUUUACUGGAGAUGACUCGCCCACUGUUCAGAAUUUGAAUUAAAGUGUCAUCCCAACCUGGAGUCGACUCGGUCCAAGCCUGGAGUCGACUCGCCAAGAUCUGGAGAUGACUCG
RNAcentral lists this long non-coding RNA (996 nucleotides) under Phoenix dactylifera (date palm). RNAcentral describes it as "long non-coding RNA (PDAC_LNC009656)". Lineage: Eukaryota; Viridiplantae; Streptophyta; Magnoliopsida; Arecales; Arecaceae. The record is from RNAcentral.